This 477-nucleotide ribosomal RNA is filed under the name uncultured bacterium. Its description in RNAcentral is "partial 16S ribosomal RNA". It matches the Rfam family "Bacterial small subunit ribosomal RNA", at positions 30 to 507 of the family's 1533-position model. The record is from RNAcentral.
AUUGAACGCUGGCGGCAUGCCUUACACAUGCAAGUCGAACGGUAACAGGUUAAGCUGACGAGCGGCGAACGGGUGAGUAAUGUAUCGGAACGUGCCCAGUCGUGGGGGAUAACUGCUCGAAAGAGCAGCUAAUACCGCAUACGACCUGAGGGUGAAAGCGGGGGAUCGCAAGACCUCGCGCGAUUGGAGCGGCCGAUAUCAGAUUAGGUAGUUGGUGAGGUAAAGGCUCACCAAGCCGACGAUCUGUAGCUGGUCUGAGAGGACGACCAGCCACACUGGGACUGAGACACGGCCCAGACUCCUACGGGAGGCAGCAGUGGGGAAUUUUGGACAAUGGGCGCAAGCCUGAUCCAGCCAUGCCGCGUGCGGGAAGAAGGCCUUCGGGUUGUAAACCGCUUUUGUCAGGGAAGAAAAGGUUCUGGCUAAUACCUGGGACUCAUGACGGUACCUGAAGAAUAAGCACCGGCUAACUACGUG